This 446-nucleotide ribosomal RNA is filed under the name uncultured bacterium. Its description in RNAcentral is "partial 16S ribosomal RNA". It matches the Rfam family "Bacterial small subunit ribosomal RNA", at positions 338 to 795 of the family's 1533-position model. The record is from RNAcentral.
CCUACGGGUGGCAGCAGUCGAGAAUCAUUCACAAUGGGGGAAACCCUGAUGGUGCGACGCCGCGUGGGGGAAUGAAGGUCUUCGGAUUGUAAACCCCUGUCAUGUGGGAGCAAAUUAAAAAGAUAGUACCACAAGAGGAAGAGACGGCUAACUCUGUGCCAGCAGCCGCGGUAAUACAGCGGUCUCAAGCGUUGUUCGGAACCACUGGGCGUAAGGCGUGCGGAGGCUGUUUCGUAAGUCGUGUGUGAAAGGCGCGGGCUCAACCCGCGGACGGCACAUGAUACUGCGAGACUAGAGUAAUGGAGGGGGAACCGGAAUGCUCGGUGUAGCAGUGAAAUGCGUAGAUAUCGAGAGGAACACUCGUGGCGAAGGCGGGUUCCUGGACAUUAACUGACGCUGAGGCACGAAGGCCAGGGGAGCGAAAGGGAUUAGAUACCCCUGUAGUC